GGCUAGUCCAAGUGCAGUGGUGUUUACAACUAAUUGAGCACAGCCAGUACAGAUUUAUUUGUUCCUUCUACACCUAUGUUGCUGCACUUGAUCAUCCUUUA
Callithrix jacchus (white-tufted-ear marmoset) is the source of this 101-nucleotide Y RNA. It matches the Rfam family "Y RNA". From Rfam's summary of the family: Y RNAs are components of the Ro ribonucleoprotein particle (Ro RNP), in association with Ro60 and La proteins. The Y RNAs and Ro60 and La proteins are well conserved, but the function of the Ro RNP is not known. In humans the RNA component can be one of four small RNAs -- hY1, hY3, hY4 and hY5. Lineage: Eukaryota; Metazoa; Chordata; Mammalia; Primates; Cebidae. The record is from Ensembl.